CCAUCUUUGAAGAGAAAUUAAAGAAAGUGUCUGACAAAUGACAUGGUUUCUUCUAUCUAAGAUCUGUUUCUCCCUUUGCAGCAUGUUUGGGAAUGAACUCCAUGCAAUUGCCUUCUUCCCUUUAGACAUGGCUUCCUCCCCUUCCCACUGAAGCAGUGCAAUUGAGCAUCUCCAGAACAUGAGCACAGAAGGCUCGCCUGGACUGCAUUCCUCACAGAGGUGGAGCAAGUGAACUGUUAACAGCAUCACAUAUUGCAAGUUGAAAUUGAAUGACUGGAAGAUGCUGUGAAGAACACACAAAGGAACACCAAUUUCAUUCCCUUUGUCAUCUGACUAGCUAUAUUUAAAGUUAGAUUGCACAAAAGAGAGAUUGAGGAGGCAAGAGAAGCAACAAAAGACAGACUGAUUCCCAUUGCCCAGACAUUUCCCCUGAUGUCUGACUGGGGGUCUAGUGGAGGAGCAGCAAGCAUGACAUGGGGGAAAACAGCAACUGAAACCCACCGUCUGGUUCCUUCCAUUUCCUACAGCACGCAAUGGAACCACAGGGCUCCCACAGCCUGAGAGGGAGGCUGCUUUUGAGAGCAUUGCCCACAAAACUGUGGCUAUCACUCUGCAGAGACAACCUCUUGCCUUUUCUGUUGUCUUGUAUAACUAAGGUUCAGCAAUCGCCUAUAAUCUAAAGAUAUUAUAGCAGCAUCGUUUGAUAGCCCACUACCUAACCUGUUUUUUCAGGAAAAAAAUUAUUGAUUUUACUUUUUUCAUAUCAAAAAACUCUAGCCCAAAUUCUAGGAUUAAAUAAUUAAUAAUUAAAUAAUUCAGUGAUUAAAAAAUUAACAAAGGGGAUUUUUUAAAAUUUCAAACCUGAGAAGCACUGAUGGCACACACUCCUGGCACACACUGAUGGCACACACUCCUGGCACAAACACACUCCUGGCACACACUCCUGGCACACACUGGUGGCACAAACACACUCCUGGCACACACUGAUGGCACACACUCCUGGUACACACUCUCGGCACACACUCCUGGUGCACACUGAUGGCACACACUGAUGGCAUAUACUCCUGGCACACACUGAUGGCACACACUCCGGGCGCACAUUCCUGGCACACACUGAUGGCACACACUCCUGGCACACACUGAUGGCACACACUCCUGGCACACACUGAUGGAACACACUGAUGGCACACACUCCUGGCACACACUGAUGGCACACACUCCUGGCACACAUUGAUGGCACACACUGAUGGGUCACCCGCCACCCUGCGCGCCACCCUUGUUCUCCCACUCCGGAUCCGUCUGGCCCAGGCGCGGACCUGGUGCUGUUUGUGACUGUACAAGAAGAUCCAAGGUGAAAGAAAGGUAUAAAAACAACUUAAGACUUUUCUUCAAAUCCACACUAAGAUGGAUACUUUUUGCCUCACGACAUCUCUUUGGCUCGUCCUGCUGGGACAAGUAAUCAGUGACAAUCCCGAGAGACACAGCACGAAUCUAAGCAGUCAAGCGGGGGACUUCACCCCUUUUCCGGGGACAGAGCUCAGCUUCCUGGGAACCACUCAUCGACCUACAAAUUUGGCCCUGCCCAGCAAUGGCUCAGUGCGUAACUAUUGCCCACAACAGACUAAAAUCACGACAGCUUUCAAAUACAUUAACACUGUGAUAUCCUGCACCAUCUUCAUUGUGGGAAUGGUAGGGAACGCAACCCUGCUUAGGAUCAUUUACCAGAAUAAGUGCAUGAGGAAUGGCCCCAAUGCACUCAUAGCCAGCCUGGCCCUGGGGAACCUGAUCUACGUUGUCAUUGAUCUCCCCAUCAAUGUGUUUAAGGUACAGAGCAAUGGCCUCGUGGAGUCGUGUUCAAGGAAUCGGGAUCCCCUUGAUUACCGCCAUUGAAAUUGUCUCCAUCUGGGUCCUGUCCUUUAUCCUGGCCAUCCCAGAGGCCAUCGGCUUCGUCAUGGUACCAUUCGAAUACCUGGGUGAGCAGUAUUGAACCUGCAUGCUCAAUGCCACGACCAAGUUCAUGGAGGUACUGAGCCCAGUUCACCCACCAUAUCCAGGUCAACAUUAUAAAGACAUGCUAAAGUCCCAAAUGAAUUAGCUGGUCAGGGAGGCUCCGUCCUUCACUGUCCUCAGCUGUCAGGAAGACAAUGUUGGCCUUGUGUAGCCUCUUAAAUAGAGCAGCUGUGUCCUCUCCCGCUCUCCCCUCAUAGCGCAACUACAGACAUUCCGUCCUACAGACACGGACGUGUCACUGAGGACAUGCAGGUUGCUCAGUUAUAGUUCUGAACACAAGUCUUAUUUACCCUAAACGUACGUCACAAAACUCUUGUCCGGCAAAGUGAGCUGCAUGCGUGCCCUAUGAGGAAUCACUGCAGCACACACAAACCAUAGAUCCUGACCUCUACACAUAUUCGGCAAGAAAUUGGACACCCAGAGUCCCGGAGGUCGGGCUCUCUCGCUGUAAACAGGCUGCCUUGCUGUCUGGGCUCAUACUGACACAGACUCUAGGCCUGGCCCCCAAGAACACAUCAGCAUUGUUCAGAAAAGCUUAAGCACCUGCCUGAGCACACUGGGAAACACGGUUCAGAAUGCAUAUUCCCUUUGCAAAACUGGUUCCAGGUGGACAGAGGACAGAACCAGCAAGUUAUCCAUGCCCCCCGAGGCGGGAGAGUUAAGUGUUUUGAUGCCAGCAUCACCUGCUCAGGUCCACAUCACAGACAGCUCAAGCUAUGUUUUCCUAAGAG
Molecule: long non-coding RNA, 2741 nt
Organism: Chionomys nivalis (European snow vole)
Lineage: Eukaryota; Metazoa; Chordata; Mammalia; Rodentia; Cricetidae
Exons: 4
Source: RefSeq, a predicted model, not a curated record